UGCAUUGGGAGAAAAAAGGUAUUUGCUUGUCCUGGAUGAUUUGUGGCGUGUUGGAUCUACACAUUGGUAUGAGUUCAUGGACACCUUAAAAGGAAUCAAUACAUCCAGAGGAAACUGCAUUCUCGUGACUACUCGUAUGAAGCAGGUGGCAUCCAUAGUAGCUGCAGAUCUUCAUAUGUUGGGGAAAUUAGCAGAUGAUCAUUGUUUGUCCAUUUUCAAACAAAGAGCAUUUAUUGAUGGAGAAGUUCCACAAGAAUUAGUAAGCCUGGGAAAUAGAACUGUUGAAAUGUGUCA
This 294-nucleotide unclassified non-coding RNA is filed under the name Hevea brasiliensis (rubber tree). The record is from RNAcentral. Lineage: Eukaryota; Viridiplantae; Streptophyta; Magnoliopsida; Malpighiales; Euphorbiaceae.